UGGAAGCUUAUAAUGAAAUAUCUAGUACUAAUCCUAAUAGCAUUUAUAUUCCAAUUGAUAUAUGCAUUGAUGAUUAUAAUAAGGAAAUUUUGUCAUAAAAAACCAUUUAUAACAACUAUUUUGUUGGAAAAACCUUAUAAAAAGUUUUUGGCAAAGAGAAACCAGCUUGUAAAAUAUUUUUGUUGAAGACAACCUAAGAUCUCUAAUCACUCAAUUAACUACUAAUUUCCCCUUAAUUCUUCUAAUUACUAAUAAUUGUCACUUAACUAACUAAUAAUUAAGUUAAUUUAAGUAAUAAAAACAAAAAACAAAAACCACCCUUACCACCACCACCCAGCCACCUUCUCCUUCUCCCCCUCCCAUGGCAGCAGGCAGCAACCCCCCCAUCCCCAGCCGCUGCUUGGAACCCCCCACCCCCACCGACCAACCUCCACCGCCGAACCGACCUCUUCCUUUUCCCCUUUAUCUUCGCGGAGACCACUCUCAUAAACCCUAACCCAAAAAAUCACCCAAUAUAGUGACUGUGAGGCUCAGAAUGAAUAAUCCUCCAUCAAUGCCACCUUAAUUUUCUCUCUCCCCCGCUAAUCUUCUUUGUUUCCGCUCUGAUCUCGUCUUCGUCGUCAAUCCUCGAGGAGCAAAUGGCACGACAAGAAAAGAAUGGAAGAAACUUUUGGUUGGUCGAAGCAGGGGAGCUCGGCGGGCAACAGCUAAGGUCGCGAACGCAGUGGUGGAUUGGAGAUUGGUUGCCGAGAGUGGGGGUUAUAGGAAUAUAGGCGAUGGCUUGAAUAGGGAGGAGAAAGGGGUGGCUGGGUGGUGGUGGUUUUUUAUUGUUUUGUUUUGUU
Molecule: long non-coding RNA, 842 nt
Organism: Chenopodium quinoa (quinoa)
Lineage: Eukaryota; Viridiplantae; Streptophyta; Magnoliopsida; Caryophyllales; Amaranthaceae
Exons: 2
Source: RefSeq, a predicted model, not a curated record